UCGAUUCCCUUAGUAGCGGCGAGCGAAACGGGAAGAGCCCAAACCAACAAGCUUGCUUGUUGGGGUUGUAGGACACUCUAUACGGAGUUACAAAGGACGACAUUAGACGAAUCAUCUGGAAAGAUGAAUCAAAGAAGGUAAUAAUCCUGUAGUCGAAAAUGUUGUCUCUCUUGAGUGGAUCCUGAGUACGACGGAGCACGUGAAAUUCCGUCGGAAUCUGGGAGGACCAUCUCCUAAGGCUAAAUACUCUCUAGUGACCGAUAGUGAACCAGUACCGUGAGGGAAAGGUGAAAAGCACCCCGGAAGGGGAGUGAAAUAGAACCUGAAACCGUGUGCUUACAAGUAGUCAGAGCCCGUUAAUGGGUGAUGGCGUGCCUUUUGUAGAAUGAACCGGCGAGUUACGAUUUGAUGCAAGGUUAAGCAGUAAAUGUGGAGCCGUAGCGAAAGCGAGUCUGAAUAGGGCGUUUAGUAUUUGGUCGUAGACCCGAAACCAGGUGAUCUACCCUUGGUCAGGUUGAAGUUCAGGUAACACUGAAUGGAGGACCGAACCGACUUACGUUGAAAAGUGAGCGGAUGAACUGAGGGUAGCGGAGAAAUUCCAAUCGAACCUGGAGAUAGCUGGUUCUCUCCGAAAUAGCUUUAGGGCUAGCCUCAAGUGAUGAUUAUUGGAGGUAGAGCACUGUUUGGACGAGGGGCCCCUCUCGGGUUACCGAAUUCAGACAAACUCCGAAUGCCAAUUAAUUUAACUUGGGAGUCAGAACAUGGGUGAUAAGGUCCGUGUUCGAAAGGGAAACAGCCCAGACCACCAGCUAAGGUCCCAAAAUAUAUGUUAAGUGGAAAAGGAUGUGGCGUUGCCCAGACAACUAGGAUGUUGGCUUAGAAGCAGCCAUCAUUUAAAGAGUGCGUAAUAGCUCACUAGUCGAG
RNAcentral lists this ribosomal RNA (924 nucleotides) under Staphylococcus aureus. Its description in RNAcentral is "partial 23S ribosomal RNA". It matches the Rfam family "Bacterial large subunit ribosomal RNA", at positions 231 to 1153 of the family's 2925-position model. The record is from RNAcentral. Lineage: Bacteria; Bacillati; Bacillota; Bacilli; Caryophanales; Staphylococcaceae.